UUUCCUCUGUUAUUAUUUUCUUUCUGUGAAGUCUUUCGCCUCGUCAUACAUACAUUGUCUUUUCCACGAAAAUUGCCAUCCGUCGUGGCCCUCAUUCUCUUCUUUUCCAGAAGAAGAAGCUUCACAGAAGACUC
Caenorhabditis elegans is the source of this 134-nucleotide non-coding RNA. The record is from Ensembl. Lineage: Eukaryota; Metazoa; Nematoda; Chromadorea; Rhabditida; Rhabditidae.